Molecule: ribosomal RNA, 254 nt
Filed under: uncultured bacterium
Lineage: Bacteria
Description: partial 16S ribosomal RNA
Rfam family: Bacterial small subunit ribosomal RNA
Source: RNAcentral
CACGUAGGGGGCAAGCGUUGUCCGGAUUUAUUGGGCGUAAAGAGCUCGUAGGUGGUUCGGUAAGUCGGGUGUUAAACCCCCAGGCUCAACCUGGGGACGCCACUCGAUACUGCUGUGACUUGAGUCCGGUAGGGGAGCGUGGAAUUCCUGGUGUAGCGGUGAAAUGCGCAGAUAUCAGGAGGAACACCAGCGGCGAAGGCGGUUCUCUGGGACGGUACUGACGCUGAGACGCGAAAGCGUGGGGAGCGAACAGG